CACUAACAGAAAUGAAGAAUUCUUCUGAUGGCUCAUUAGUAGCAUGAACUCUGCAAAGGAGAGAAUCUCUGAGCCUGAGGAGAUCUCAUCAGGAACUGAGAAGCAAAGAGAAACAACAGUAAAAAAAAAUGAAACAAAAUAUCCAACAACUACCAAAGGUAUAAUGUGUAUAAUGGGAAUACAGGAGUAGAGCUACAAUAAAAGAAAUACCUGAAUCAAUAAUGACUGAGAAUUUUUUCCAAAUUAAUGUCAAGACAGCAAACUACAGAUCCUGGAAACUCAGGACACAAGGCAGGAUAAAUGCUUAAAGGAAAAAAGAACAGCAGUGCUCCUAGACAUAUUAUACUUAAACUACAGAAAAUCAAAAGUAAAGAAAAAUUCUUGAAGAAAAUCCGAGAAAAAAAUAAAUAAACACCUUACCUAUUGAGAAGCAAAGUUAAGAAUCAUCAGCUGGGCACCGAGGCGCACUCCUGUAAUCCCAGGAGCUUGGAAGGCGGAGGCAAGGAGGACUGCUAGUUCAAAGCCAGCCUCAGCAACUUAGUGAGGCACUUAGCAACUCAGCAAGACCCUGUCACUAAAUAAAAUACCAUAAAGGGCUGGGGAUGUGGCUCAGUGGUUAACACCCCUGGGAUCAAUCCCCAGUACCAAAAAAAAAAAAAAAAUCAUGUCCAACUUCUCCUCAGAAACCAGGCAGGUAAAAGAGAAUGAAAUAAAGUAUUUAAAGUAUUGAGAGAAAACUAUCUCAUGAACCUAGAAUUAUAUACCCUGAGAAAUUAUCCUUUGAAAGUGAAGAAGAAAUAAAGACUUUCUCUGACACACUGAGGAGAUUUGUUACCAGUAGACUUGUCUUGAAGUCAAAGUAAAAAGGCCUUCUGUGAAAAGAAAGCUAAUACAGGCCAGAAACCCGCACUGCAUAAGGAGGAAGCGCCCUGGAGAAGGAGAGGGAGAUCAAAUGCACAUUUUUAUUUGUCUUAUUCUUAAUUUUAUAUAUAUAUUUGAAAAUGGAUUUGGAUUAGUUGUAAAUAUGUAUCGUGAACUGUGGGGAAAUCACUUUAAAAAGUUAAGGAGAAAAAAAGAAACCAAUGUAGAAGCAGUUUACAAAGAAUGGAGAGAGAAUGGGAAUUAAAACCACAAAUGGCAGAAAGACUGGGAGACAAAAACAGUAGGGGAAAAAGUGUGAUAAAUAGAAAACAGCAGCAAAUACAGGAGAUCUUAGUGCAACUGCAUCAAUAGUAAUUUAUUUUUUUCAGAAAGAGGAGGUCUAAAGCCACAGUCAGGAAACCUGCAAUACAUUGAGCCAACAUGAGCACCCUUAACUAUCCUGUUGAAUAUAACAGGACGUACUUUGCUGUAUGAUCUUGGAGCAGACAGGUUGUACCACCAAACCUAGCCCAGUUAAAUAAAGACACAUGUACACCAAAGGGCCUGCUAUGCCACCCAAAAUUAGUCUUUGGUGUCAGCACUGAAGCUAUCAAAUUUGACUCAUUUAAAGGCACUCUGUUUUCCAUGUUCAUUAUGGAAUAGUGUCAAUAAGACUCAAUCAUUUUAAAUGUACUAUUUUGGCUGUUCCAAUAGUUUCAACAAAUGGUUCUCAAACAGAAGUAAAUUACACCAUAGGAGACAUUCAGUAAUGCCUAGAGAUGAUUUUAUUUGUCCCAUCUGGAGAAAGAGGUGCUCUUGGCAUCUGGGAGGUAGAGAAAAGGGAUGCAGCUGAACAUCCUACAAUAUACAAGACAAAUCCCCAUAAUAAAGGUCAACAGGGCCACUGUUAAGAAACUCAGAUUCAGACAUACUCUAAUUUGAUAUUUGAACUCACUCAAAUCAUAAAACAGGCUUUCUUUAUCAACAAUUAUUUUAAACACCAAGAUUCUAAAUAAACUAAUUAAAAGGUAGAAAUGGUCAGAGCAUACCAAAACCCCACUAUGUGUGUGUGUAUAUACAUAUGUGCGUGUAUAUUAAAUUCACUUUAAAUAUAAAAACAUGAAUAGAUUAGAAGAUUGAGAGAAAGAUAUACAAUGUUGCUUCUAGCCAAAAGAAAGUUGGAGUAGUUCCAUUAAUUUCAGCUACAACUGACUUCAAGCCAGGGUAUAAUCAGAG
RNAcentral lists this long non-coding RNA (2097 nucleotides) under Marmota monax (woodchuck). The record is from RNAcentral. Lineage: Eukaryota; Metazoa; Chordata; Mammalia; Rodentia; Sciuridae.